GACGAACGCUGGCGGCGUGCUUAACACAUGCCAGUCGAACGGAAAGGCCCUGCUUUUGUGGGGUGCUCGUGUGGCGAACGGGUGAGUAACACGUGAGUAACCUGCCCUUGACUUUGGGAUAACUUCAGGGAACUGGGGCGAAUACCGGAUAGGAGCUCCUGCUGCAUGGUGUGGGUUGGAAAGAUUCGGCGGUUGGGGAUGGACUCGCGGCUUAUCCGCUUGUUGGUGGAGUAGUGGCUUACCAAGGCUGUGACGGGUAGCCGGCCUGAGAGGGUGACCGGCCACAAGGGGACUGAGAUACGGCCCAGACUCCUACGGGAGGCAGCAGGGGGGAAUAUUGCACAAUGGGGGGAAGCCUGAUGCAGCGACGCCGCGUGCGGGAUGAUGGGCUUCGGGGUGUAAACCGCUUUCGCCUGUGACGAAGCGUGAGUGACGGUAAUGGGUAAAGAAGCACCGGCUAACUACGUG
This 468-nucleotide ribosomal RNA is filed under the name uncultured bacterium. Its description in RNAcentral is "partial 16S ribosomal RNA". It matches the Rfam family "Bacterial small subunit ribosomal RNA", at positions 28 to 507 of the family's 1533-position model. The record is from RNAcentral.